CUUCCAAACCUCUGCAGAGUGUCGAGGAGCUUCAAUGCAAAAGAACCCGCGGACAGAGCAAAGUGCCUCUCCGACUCGUCUACUGCACCACCAGAGAAAAGCCCCACUAAACAAUGUCUGGAUGUGAGGUUGCGCCGGAGCGACGGGGUGUGUGUGCUUUGAAAGCGGAGUUGCUUGUAUGAGAAAUUAAUUUGUUGUUUGCCUGAAGGAGAGCUUAGAAGGAUCAUUCCUGUUUGCGCCAAAUCUGAUAUCCAUUGGUUGUGAUAACAUUGUGCACGGAAAAUUAAUUGCCGAGAUGGAACACUAAAACUGUGCUUUACACAACAUCCAGACAGGAAAUACCAAAACCAAAAUGAUGAUGUUCAUUCUUUGCCUGGAUAUAUUUAUUUUUAGCAAUAUCACUGAAAAGUAGCACGGAUCAUUUUGAAUUGCAAUAUCAACAUAACGUCAACGUAACGUAAUUUAUCUCCGAUAAGGUGACAAAGUCCACGCUGACCUUUGGUCCCCUGGGACACGCGUCUCCUGGGUGAAGGUCCUGUCUCCAGCAUCGAGGGCCUUGAACCGUUCGGCCAUGUUUAUCUGAAAUUAACGUGACACAAAUGUUGUUUGCAACAGAAAAAAAUAUGCCGAAUGUUUGUUAAGUUUGAGUGGUUGAAAUUGUGUAGUUUUGCUGAGGAGGUCAGAAAGCAUUUGAAUGAACCUCAGAAGAAGAUCUCAACAGCUGCCUUUCAAUAAGAGCUGAGAUGAAGGGAUCUGUUUACAACCAAUCACUUUGAGGAAUAUCACUAAACUAUAAUCUGACAACAACAACGACAGCGAGUUAUUUUUUAUUUUGCCACCGGCGCAAUUAAUCAAAAAGCAAUUACAUUAGCACGGAGAGAUGGAUUAAAUGAUUUUGACAUUUUUUCUGUGGUCGCCUCGGCUUGCGUUGUCCCCGUCCUUCUGUCUGCAGGACGCCAAAAUCAUGACCCCCCCCCCCGUGUACUAAAGCACACGUCUGCUCAAUCAAGGUGCACCACGUGUCCCUCCGUGCUUUAUUACACUGUGUGCUGAACGAAAGCCGCCGCCUAAUUAGGGAAGACUUUCAGUCCGCUCUGUUUCCCUCCCACCUCGCACUCCCUCCCCCUUUGUCCCCCCCCCCCCCCCCCCGGGGCUUCUCCCCACCGCCCGCACAGCGGGGGGCCAAAUCCCUUCGGCUCUAAGGAGUCAACUCUCCUCCAACUUAGAUGUCGGAGGGGGGGGGUUUUGCACUGGAGGCAAAAUCUCACUGCAGCCUCUUCAGCCAUUUUCUGACUGUGCGAUGCAGGUGGCCUCGGUGAAAGUGCCCCGGGUGACGGGGGAGGGGGGUGAAUGGGGGUGGAGGGGGGUCUAGUCAUGCAGAGAGGAGUCCUCAAUCUCAGCAGAUGGACCCAUUGGUGGUGGGAGUAGAGUAUCGAGGCUCAAAGAACCAACUUUAGAGGCACCGCUUCAGAAGUAGUUUCAAAAGGGGUCAGGAGGUUUCGGUCCGCAUGGGGCUCUGGAGUAAAUGAUGGAGUGAGGGACUCGGGGAACUGCAGAGAACCGACUGAGAGAGCCAACGCGCCGCACAUGAGUGCAUUGGCUAAUGGCCUCCGCAGCUGAAGAUAAUGGGCGCAGUCUGCGGCCCAGAGCAGCCGAGACCCGGGGUCCCGCCGGUGGAAUCAGGGGUGAAGGACGACGUUGGCCGAUGGGAAAAUCGCCUCCUCGCCAGUCGUUUAUUUACAUAAGCCUCCUGGUUCAUGGGAAAGGUUGAUGGUUGCAAUUGGCAAAUUACCACUGAGCAAGCACAGACACCUCCCGAUCACAUCUGGCCAGAUGAGGUGCCAGAUGUGAUCGGGAGGUCUCUGAAACCUCCAGGUCCACCAUGCAGUUUGAAGCAGCACCAACUGCAGCGACGACGCACGACCUGAGCUGGAAAGGCGAGCGAAUCCUGGAGCCUCUUCUGGCAAAAGCCUCCUUUAGAUUGGUGUUAUUAUUCUAUCUACUGGGGAUAACGACUCCCUGUGAGUGACGAGAGGACGGCGAGGUAAGAGCAGGGAGGGAGGCGUGAAAACACUGCUCGGCGAGACGGAGGAUUAUAGGCGACGGGAAUAAUAGGUCUGGCCAAGUGAAUGCAUCACUCUCCGUAUCCGGGGUGAAACGGGGCCCUAUUUGCACGUGGGGGCGGCCGGACGAUUGUGCGUCCGUGUCCUCGGCUUUCGAGGGGCUGGGAGGCAGGCGACCUCACGCUGUUCGGUGAGAGCACGGACACCCCGCCAGGUCGGUAAUGAGACAAGACCAACACCACUGAGCGAGAGGCGGUAAUUACACACACACACAACAGCCUCCCACCAGCACGCGCUGCCAUUUAUAUUCAGCAGAGCUGAGAAGUGUGACUGUACUCGCGUAAAGGAGUAAAGAUGGUUUUGGGGGGACUUUUAAGGCCGCGUUCCUGCGCAGUCAUUAGCUAUCGGUACAUCGCCAUGUGUCACGCGACGGGGAAAAGGUUAUUUUCCUGUUUCUCCGGCAGCUCGGUGCGAUUGGACGUGUUUGUCCUCAACGACGUGAAACGUCAAAUGCCUCCGGUGAACCUGAUGUGAGCGCACAACAUUCUAAGAUGCACCGCCGUGAAACGUCACGGCUCUGCACACACCGCCGUCAGACCGGAGAGAAGAACAUACAAGCGCACACACGUGUGGAAGUCUCCCUCCCUCGUCCCAGAGUCUGUUGUUCAGGUGGUCAGAUGCCCGCCGGUGUUCCUCUCCGCAGUGCAGCGCCGUUCUCUGUAAUUAUCUUUUGCCAGAAUAAUCAGCGGUGCUAAAAGGUGAUGGAUGGCGAGGGAACGCGUUGCAAUAAAGCGAGCAGUCCCUCCGAUAAGCCGAAGCACUCAACUCGGCACUGUGAAUUUGUGAUAAAUCGGCCUCGUUUCAAAUCCAAACACAGAGCAAUUACACGUCUCUCCGAUUGUUGCCGUUGUAAAACAUCUGCGUCGGGAAACUAAACCAAAUCAAAUGACACUUUAUCGAGAUGGACAAAUUGAGAUGUCACCAAUUAACAAGACGCUAACUGUAAUAUUAUUUCACUUUUAUUCUUUCUAAAGCAGGCGAAAUAAACUGUUUCAGGUGCUAAAUACAUCAUAUGCUCUUAAAGUGUAGAGGAGGGGAAGCUUCCUUCUUUUGUCUGAUUUGGAAGGAGAAAUGUUGAAUUUGCAUUUACAGGGUGGGGG
Molecule: long non-coding RNA, 3223 nt
Organism: Gasterosteus aculeatus aculeatus (three-spined stickleback)
Lineage: Eukaryota; Metazoa; Chordata; Actinopteri; Perciformes; Gasterosteidae
Source: Ensembl